AUUACGUUUACAAGUGAGUUAACUAAUAUAUUUUUUUUAAGUAGUUAACUUCGUUUUGUAUCUAAACAUUCUUCAAAUGAACAUCGAGACUAACGUUGCUUUCGAACCAGCAUCUUUACCUAAGUUUAUCACAAAUAAUUUAAUUUCAUACCGUAAAACAAUGACAGACGAGGCAUAUUUUCUAUUUUUUUUUUCUCUCUCUCUUUCUAUUUUAGUAGCAUACAAUACCAAUUGGUGAUAGGAAAAGAAGAUUGUAGAAGAUCUUGGCGUGGUAGGUUAGCAUAAGAGAAGCAAUUGGUGGGGAACAUAUGCAAUUUUAAAUUCUUAGAUAAAGAGAAAUGGAUUACAUCCACAGCUUUCAAUUCAGGCGGCUACUCCAAAGAAGGAAACAAAGAUUAAAUUAUUGUCGUUUCAAUUUUAACAAAUCACUUUCAAAACUAUCAAUUCUUCACUUAAAAAAAGCGUUUUAUUUCAUUUUACUUCAAUUAAAAUUACAUGUUUAAUCUUCAAUGUUCAAAUAUUUGUAUAAGAAAAAAACAAUAAACGUUGUAUUUUAAUGUUAUGAAAUAAAAAGUGUUAAAUGAAUUUAAGUUGUAUUUUAAUCACUACGAAAUUAUGUAGUUUUUCUAAUGCUACAAGUAGUAUCAACUUUAGCAUUUAAAAAAUAAUAUUGUCAUUAAGGUCAAUCAAGUUGGUUAUACAAGUUUAUUAAAGUUAAGCAAUGU
RNAcentral lists this long non-coding RNA (725 nucleotides) under Vigna radiata. RNAcentral's name for it is "long non-coding RNA (VRAD_LNC018373)". Lineage: Eukaryota; Viridiplantae; Streptophyta; Magnoliopsida; Fabales; Fabaceae. The record is from RNAcentral.